Molecule: long non-coding RNA, 670 nt
Filed under: Elaeis guineensis (African oil palm)
Lineage: Eukaryota; Viridiplantae; Streptophyta; Magnoliopsida; Arecales; Arecaceae
Description: long non-coding RNA (EGUI_LNC020619)
Source: RNAcentral
UGCUUACCACAACUGAUGGGAUGAGCUAGUUGGGAUACAUGGUUGACCCACCCAAUUAGACUAUUUGUAAUGAGUUGGUUAGGUGAGAUGGGCUCCAUGAUAACUAAUUAUUUUAACCACCAGAAUUUUGACGCCAACCAUCCAAAAGGAUCGUGAUUUUUUUUUGAUAUAGAUAGACGGUCAUACCAUUCUAAUGAGAGAGCAACCUAAAUGAUCAAGGCACACAAGGAUCUCAUACGAUUGGCAAGCAGACAUCUUCCUGUCUCCAGAUCCAAUCCUCCGAAUGCUUUGCCACAAAGGUAGUAAUCCACCCUGCCGUACUGUUUGCCUCCCGAUAGACAUGCUAGAUAGACAACACCGCAAAAUAAUGAAAGAAAAUUUAGAUGCCCCGAACCAACAGAUGAGCCUCCAUAUGGUCUGAGCUGUCCCGGAUCCAACCAAUGACAGUGGCAGAAUAAACCUCGAUGGAGAUCCUCUCCGUCCAAAGAUCCCACACCGCAAAGGUGAUAUCAGUCCAAGCAGCAUGAAGCUCUGCACUGGAGACGGAAGACUCGAAGAAGUGGAAUCCUCCAACCACUAGCAGCCAAACAUGAGGAUCAUGAAUGAUAAAACUAGCUCCACCUCUAUCAUUCUUGAUACUGCCAUUAAAGUUCACUUUUACACACCCCAA